Tupaia belangeri chinensis (Chinese tree shrew) is the source of this 839-nucleotide long non-coding RNA. RefSeq lists it as uncharacterized. Lineage: Eukaryota; Metazoa; Chordata; Mammalia; Scandentia; Tupaiidae. The transcript has 3 exons. The record is from RefSeq and is a predicted model, not a curated record.
AUGGUUUAGGGGUCGCUGAGGGGAAGAUGGUUUAGGGGUCGCUGAGGGGUCGCUGUCCGGGCCGCGCCAGAAGGACAGAGUGAAUGGAGUUGCCCUUGUGCUUACUGUCACUGGGACAGUUAACAGUUAAUUGAAAAACAAUUAGAAAAACAAACAAGCACUCAGACUCCUGGAAGUCAAUGGGUCCCAGGCGAAGAAGUCCUGCCCCUGUAGACAUGUGGCCCAGAUGGAAGCUUCCUCUAGUGCCUGCAUUCCACCUCCAAAGGAAGGACGCAGUAUGUAUACAGAGCCUCAGUUUUCCUCCAGUGUUUCUGGAGAUCAGGAUGUAGAACACAAGAUCUGAUAUAUUUACAAACACCAUCAGAUACAAACUGACUUGUCCGGAAGAUUUGUGCUCUUGGAAAUUCUCAUCUCUUGCUUUCCAAGGUAAAUUUAAGUAACAAAAUAGGUUAAGAAAGUGUAUUCCUACAAUGAGUAAAACACGGUCAGAGACUUAGCCUUUGGCCUCCAGCUGUGUGGUCUAUUUGACUGUGUAAGGUGCAGCCCUACAAAAAAGCUCAUGAGACUCCAAGUCACAAAACAGUGGCCUUUUUGAAGUGUACAUACUCCCAGAAAAGUGGAUAUCCCUCAUGACAGAGUUCAAGUUCCUCUCUCCAUCAGAACCCUGGAGGUAAGACCAACCUUCACGAUGAAGGCCAAACCCUGACACUUCUGGUCAAACAAUAUGAAGGUGGUGCCUUUAUGAUGAGGCACAGGAAGGUGAACUUGGCAUAGAAGCUGGUCACGGCACAGAAGCCAUCUGCUGCACAGGAAGUCCUUCCCAGGUCCACUGGUGACCC